Molecule: microRNA precursor, 124 nt
Filed under: Arabidopsis suecica
Lineage: Eukaryota; Viridiplantae; Streptophyta; Magnoliopsida; Brassicales; Brassicaceae
Also listed under: 1 other name
Description: MIR405
Rfam family: MIR405 microRNA precursor family
Source: RNAcentral
UCAACCCAUUUAACCUUCUAACCCAUCAAAUUAAAUGAGUUCAUGGGUUGACUCAACUCAUUUGGCUAAAUGAGUUGAGUCAACCCAUGAACUCAUUUAACUCUAAACUCAUUGGGUAAUGAGU